Molecule: ribosomal RNA, 111 nt
Filed under: Castor canadensis (American beaver)
Lineage: Eukaryota; Metazoa; Chordata; Mammalia; Rodentia; Castoridae
Source: RNAcentral
GUCUGAGGCCAUAGGAUCCUAAACACACCUGAUCUCGUCUGAUCUUGAAAGCUAAGUAGGGUCGGGCCUGGUUAGUACUUGGACAGAUCUUCAGAAGAGACUGCUCAGAGA